This 305-nucleotide ribosomal RNA is filed under the name uncultured bacterium. RNAcentral's name for it is "bacterial SSU rRNA". It matches the Rfam family "Bacterial small subunit ribosomal RNA", at positions 335 to 637 of the family's 1533-position model. The record is from RNAcentral.
UUGCCUACGGGAGGCAGCAGUGAGGAAUAUUGGUCAAUGUGCGGAAGCCUGAACCAGCCAAGUCGCGUGAGGGAAUAAGGCCCUACGGGUCGUAAACCUCUUUUGCCGGGGAGCAAGGGCCGGGACGAGUCCCGGUCCGGAGAGUACCCGGAGAAAAAGCAGGGGCUAACUCCGUGCCAGCAGCCGCGGUAAUACGGAGGAUGCGAGCGUUAUCCGGUUUUAUUGGGUUUAAAGGGUGCGUAGGCGGGCUUUUAAGUCAGCGGUAAAAAUUCGGGGCUCAACCCCGUCCGGCCGUUGAAACUGGG